Molecule: long non-coding RNA, 1059 nt
Filed under: Canis lupus familiaris (dog)
Lineage: Eukaryota; Metazoa; Chordata; Mammalia; Carnivora; Canidae
Description: lncRNA (ENSCAFG00030024059.1)
Source: RNAcentral
AUGUCUGGUGCCUCGCGAAGGAUGCUCUUCCCCCGGGGCUGUCGAGGCGGACCCCCCGCAGACAGCUCCGCGCGCCGAGACCCGCGCCCGGCUGCAGGGGCCCCCCGCCUCCGCGCCCCGCCCGCCGCCCGCCGCCCGCCGCCUCACCUAUCAGAUUUCCCGUGCGCCUCGCCGCGCCCCUCCUCCCGCCUCCUCAAUGCCGAGCGGAGGGGCAGCCGCCCUCGGCCUGGACCCGGCGCCGGCGACGACCGGCCGCGCGCCUCCCCGUGUCGCCGCGAUGCGGCUGUGAGCGCACUGCGGCUGCAGCCCGCCGGGCCGGGGGGGCGCGGGGAGCGCGGGCAGCGCGGGGCGCACGUUUCUAAUGAAAUAUUCCAAAUCAACCUCAAGGCCAAACAUGUUCCAUCUGGAGAUGGAGCCAGGGAUGGAGACAUAUCAACCCAUCCAGGGAUAUUUCCCCGGCGUUCACUGAGUAUCACCGGGACCCAUGUGAGAACUUGUAACUCACUGCUGGGAAUAUAUUUUUCUCUAGACUGGCUUCUUCAUUUGUCUUUCCCACAUUUCCUUCCCUUUGCUGUCCUUUCUUUUCUGUGGUGUUAUGCCUGUUUGCUGUUUCUCUUUACAUCAAUUAUAUUUAAGAAGGGCAGGUUCUGCUCUACCUUCAGAUAUAAUGUGAAUGAAUUAUCCUUGGUUGCUUUUCUCCUUAUGUGAGAAUUAUUUCUUUUCUGCUUGGAGAUUUAAUUUGUGUUCUGGAUAUCAUGUUUUAUCUGCUUUGCUGUUGCCUGAGGAUACAAAGGAGGCGGAGCUGGAAUUGUGGCUAAUUGUGAUUGCUGGGUUUAGAUUCUCUUUGUGCAUCCUGUAAUUGUAUGAAGAGUUGCUUUCAGGGUACGCUUGGGUUUUAGAUUGCCUCCAAAUUCAGAAUGUAGCUUGAAAGCAUUAAAUUUUUUUUCAAAUUAUGAAGUAUUUCAAACAUACAACUGAGUUAGGAUUUAAAAUAUAUUAGGUGUGUAAUUCAAGAAGUUAGACAAAAGACAAAGUUAACCUUUAAAAGGCUAGGAAAGG